AUUGAACGCUGGCGGCAUGCCUUACACAUGCAAGUCGAACGGCAGCACGGGAGCAAUCCUGGUGGCGAGUGGCGAACGGGUGAGUAAAGUAUCGGAACGUGCCCAGUCGUGGGGGAUAACGUAGCGAAAGUUACGCUAAUACCGCAUACGAGCUAUGGAGGAAAGCGGGGGAACGCAAGACCCCGCGCGAUUGGAGCGGCCGAUAUCAGAUUGGGUAGUUGGUGGGGUAAAGGCUCACCAAGCCGACGAUCUGUAGCUGGUCUGAGAGGACGACCAGCCACUGGGACUGAGACACGGCCCAGACUCUUACGGGAGGCAGCAGUGGGGAAUUUUGGACAAUGGGCGAAAGCCUGAUCCAGCCAUGCCGCGUGCAGGAUGAAGGCCUUCGGGUUGUAAACUGCUUUUGUACGGAACGAAAAGGUUUGGCCUAAUAAGCUGAGCUCAUGACGGUACCGUAAGAAUAAGCACCGGCUAACUACGUGCCAGCCGCCGCCGUAA
Molecule: ribosomal RNA, 498 nt
Filed under: uncultured bacterium
Lineage: Bacteria
Description: partial 16S ribosomal RNA
Rfam family: Bacterial small subunit ribosomal RNA
Source: RNAcentral